RNAcentral lists this ribosomal RNA (415 nucleotides) under uncultured crenarchaeote. RNAcentral describes it as "partial 16S ribosomal RNA". It matches the Rfam family "Archaeal small subunit ribosomal RNA", at positions 330 to 747 of the family's 1478-position model. The record is from RNAcentral. Lineage: Archaea; Thermoproteati; Thermoproteota.
GCGCACCAGUCGCGAAAACUUCGCAAUACACGAAAGUGUGACGAGGCCAUCCCGAGUGCCAUCCGCUGAGGAUGGCUUUUCACCGGUCCAACCAGCCGGUGGAAUAAGGGGAGGGCAAGUCUGGUGUCAGCCGCCGCGGUAAUACCAGCUCUCCGAGUGGUAGGGAUGAUUAUUGGGCUUAAAGCGUCCGUAGCUGGCCUUUCAAGUCUCUUGUUAAAUCCAGCGAUUCAAUCGUUGGAUUGCGGGAGAUACUGUUAGGCUAGGGGGCGGGAGAAGCCGACGGUAUUUCCGGGGUAGGGGUAAAAUCCUAUAAUCCCGGGAAGACCACCAGUGGCGUAGGCGGUCGGCUAGCACACGCUCGACAGUGAGGGACGAAAGCUGGGGUAGCGAACCGGAUUAGAUACCCGGGUAGUCC